UAUGGAGCUAAAGAAUGAGUGUGGUCU
Molecule: non-coding RNA, 27 nt
Filed under: Homo sapiens (human)
Lineage: Eukaryota; Metazoa; Chordata; Mammalia; Primates; Hominidae
Source: RNAcentral